GAUGAAGAACGUAGCGAAAUGCGAUAAGUAAUGUGAAUUGCAGAAUUCAGUGAAUCAUCGAAUCUUUGAACGCACAUUGCGCCCGCCAGUAUUCUGGCGGGCAUGCCUGUUCGAGCGUCAUUACAACCCUCAGGCCCCCGGGCCUGGCGUUGGGGAUCGGCGGAAGCCCCCUGCGGGCACAACGCCGUCCCCCAAAUACAGUGGCGUUCCCGCCGCAGCUUCCAUUGCGUAGUAGCUAACACCUCGCAACUGGAGAGCGGCGCGGCCACGCCGUAAAACACCCAACUUCUGAAUGUUGACCUCGAAUCAGGUAGGAAUACCCGCUGAACUUAAGCAUAUCAAUAAGCGGAGGA
This 353-nucleotide unclassified non-coding RNA is filed under the name soil metagenome. RNAcentral's name for it is "partial contains 5.8S ribosomal RNA, internal transcribed spacer 2, and large subunit ribosomal RNA". The stretch from base 1 to 120 matches the Rfam family "5.8S ribosomal RNA", at positions 35 to 154 of the family's 154-position model. The record is from RNAcentral.